AAAGUAGGUUGUCUUAUCGCCGUGAAUUUGAUUCAAGGAGGAAAGUCCGAGCACUAUAGAACAGCAUAGCGGAUAACAUCCGUCAUUCUAAUUUAUUUUAGGAGAGGACAAGUGCAACAGAAAGCAAGUACAGUUCGGCUGUAGUGAAACCAGGUAAACUCUAUGCGGUGCAAUGUCAUGUAUAUUGGAGUCCUAUUUAUAGGUAAGAGUUGUUCGCUCAAUUCCAAGGGGUAGACAGAUAGAAGUUAUUGGCAACAGUAACCCUAGAUAAAUGAUAAGAAUCUUGAUCUUAUUUCAAGAUACAGAACUCGGCUUAUAGAUCUACUUUUUUC
This 332-nucleotide RNase P RNA is filed under the name Wenyingzhuangia sp. 1_MG-2023. RNAcentral's name for it is "RNase P RNA component class A". It matches the Rfam family "Bacterial RNase P class A". From Rfam's summary of the family: Ribonuclease P (RNase P) is a ubiquitous endoribonuclease, found in archaea, bacteria and eukarya as well as chloroplasts and mitochondria. Lineage: Bacteria; Pseudomonadati; Bacteroidota; Flavobacteriia; Flavobacteriales; Flavobacteriaceae. The record is from RNAcentral.